AUGGACGAAAGUCUGAUGGAGCAACGCCGCGUGAGUGAAGAAGGGUUUCGGCUCGUAAAACUCUGUUGUUAAAGAAGAACAUAUCUGAGAGUAACUGUUCAGGUAUUGACGGUAUUUAACCAGAAAGCCACGGCUAACUACGUGCCAGCAGCCGCGGUAAUACGUAGGUGGCAAGCGUUGUCCGGAUUUAUUGGGCGUAAAGCGAGCGCAGGCGGUUUUUUAAGUCUGAUGUGAAAGCCUUCGGCUCAACCGAAGAAGUGCAUCGGAAACUGGGAAACUUGAGUGCAGAAGAGGACAGUGGAACUCCAUGUGUAGCGGUGAAAUGCGUAGAUAUAUGGAAGAACACCAGUGGCGAAGGCGGCUGUCUGGUCUGUAACUGACGCUGAGGCUCGAAAGUAUGGGUAGCAAACAGGAUUAGAUACCCUGGUAGUCCAUACCGUAAACGAUGAAUGCUAAGUGUUGGAGGGUUUCCGCCCUUCAGUGCUGCAGCUAACGCAUUAAGCAUUCCGCCUGGGGAGUACGGCCGCAAGGCUGAAACUCAAAGGAAUUGACGGGGGCCCGCACAAGCGGUGGAGCAUGUGGUUUAAUUCGAAGCUACGCGAAGAACCUUACCAGGUCUUGACAUACUAUGCAAAUCUAAGAGAUUAGACGUUCCCUUCGGGGACAUGGAUACAGGUGGUGCAUGGUUGUCGUCAGCUCGUGUCGUGAGAUGUUGG
Molecule: ribosomal RNA, 716 nt
Filed under: Lactiplantibacillus plantarum
Lineage: Bacteria; Bacillati; Bacillota; Bacilli; Lactobacillales; Lactobacillaceae
Description: bacterial SSU rRNA
Rfam family: Bacterial small subunit ribosomal RNA
Source: RNAcentral